Molecule: small nucleolar RNA, 128 nt
Organism: Octodon degus (degu)
Lineage: Eukaryota; Metazoa; Chordata; Mammalia; Rodentia; Octodontidae
Product: small nucleolar RNA SNORA40
Exons: 1
Source: RefSeq, a predicted model, not a curated record
UGUGUGUGUGUGUGUGUGUGCGUUUUAUUUGCACAAAGACUCAUGGACAAGCACAAAAAGCAAAUCAUCUUUUGCAACAUAGAAUUUACUGUUCAGGAUGAGCCUGGAUACAUAAAAGAAGGAAUACU